GGAAAAGACAGGUUCCGAAUACAGAGGUCUAUGUCAAAUUAUAAAAAUGGGACAAUGCUUUAAAGGCAAAGCACAGGGCAUUAGGAGCCAGAGCGUGUAUCAGAGAGACCUGUCACUAUCUGAUGGUGGUAGGGCGUGAAGUUGAGCUAAGAUCUGAGGGAGGAAAAGCAGCGAGUUAGGCGUGGGGUAGAGGUGUGGGUGAGCUUCCCAGGCAGAGGCGGCAGCACAUGCACAGACUCUGUGGCAGGAGGGUCCAUGGCACCUCCAGGGAACUGAAAGCACGAGAGUGGCUGGGGCCUGGAGACUGAGGAGGGUCUGGAGUGGCUCCAAGUGUAAGCGGGGAACAGUCACACGGAAGCUUGCAAGAUCACUGACGACUCGGGUUUUAUCUAAACAGCCUAGUUACAGGACUCCAUAUGGUUCUGGAAAUACAAAUGUGAAAGGAACAGUCUUUGCUUUUUGGAGUCUACUGGAAGAGAUGGACAUACAAACUAACCUAACCUGACACACUAUUAGGGAAAGUUUCCAUAAGCUGCUGUGAGAGGAAGAAAAAAUACCAGGAAGAUUUUCCAAAGGAAGAGCCAUUGAAGGCUUGAAGGAAGAGUUGAGAUUGCCCAGACACAUGGGUCAACAUGUGUCAUAGAAGGCAGGCAUUAAAAACAUGGCAUAUUUGGAAGAGGGUCGUGAAUGAGUGGAGAAAGAUAAAAGUCUUGCAUCAGGAGGCUUUUUUAUUCCUCAGAGUCUGCAUUUUGGGAUGGAAAAUUGUGUUGGCUAUGCAAGGAGAGACACUAUGAAUGAGGGAGCUAUAUUUCCAAGACUCCCAUUUCUCCUGGCUUCCAAGGAGGCUGGUGAGGAGGCACGGCCGAUCACCGAAGGACCAGGUGAGGGGCUGAAUCGCAGUCUCUCUCUCCUAUCUCUCUGCUCAGAGCAGCAUUUGCAGCAGUAGCUGCUGAGUCUUCUCCAUGGCUCCAGGUCCUGCCAGGUCUCAUUUGCUGGUGCCCCAAGAAGACUUGGGAAAUGAAGGGCAACAAAGCCAGAGCAAACUCAUGAAAUACACUUUGGCCUCAAGAAGAAAGCUUUUGAAAUCUGUGAAGUGUGAUUUCAGAUGUCAGCGUGCUUUGGGGGUUGGGAUGAGCAAGUUCCACUCCUCUCCUUUGGAAAGCUGGGCAGCGUUUGGAGAAAUCAUCAGUGUAUCAGAAAACACGCAUCUCUAUGAUCUAUCCUGAAUCCAAAUAGGAAAAAAUGAAAUGAGUGCUUUUCCCCCAUUCAGAAAUCUUUUUUAUUGCACCAUGAAGAAAUAAAUGUCUACCAAAGGGAAAUGAAGAGGAGCUAAGCGGAGAAUCUAAUUGCCCACUUCAAUCACUCCCACACAAAAUGCCUGGCUAAAGGAUGGGCAGGCAGAGCAGCAGCAUUUUGGCAAAAAUUUUAAAUAAAAAGGGAAAAAAUUGUUCCAGCAGGAGUUCUGUAGAAAAAUGGAGACAGCUGCUGCAUUUUCUCCAGCCCGCUAUCUCUUUCAGCCAGACCAAAGACAAUCCAGCUCUUGGCUUAAUUAAUCACUUGCUGGUUAUGAUUGUGGAGGAAAGUGGGGCUCACUAUUGCUCUCUUAGCCUAGGAGCAAAAUUUCCAAAGAGAAGUGGAAUGUGUAUCAAUGGAGGAAAAGAAACUCUUCCCAAGAGACCAGAAUGGGAUUCUUUCUAGUGUUUCCUCCUCAGUGGCUUUCACUUUCAUUUUAAGGCAAGUUUGCACAGAGCCCAUUCUCCAUUCAGUCCAACCUCUAAGCACCCACAUAAACUCAAACUCAGAUUAACAAUACUAUCUCUUUUUUUUUGAGGAAGAUUAGCCCUGAGCUAACAUCUGCUGCCAAUCCUCCUCUUUUUGCUGAGGAAGACUGGCCCUGAGCUAACAUCCAUGCCCAUCUUGCUCUACUUUAUAUGUAGGACGCCUACCAUAGUGUGGCUUGCCAAGCAGUGCCAUGUCCACACCCAGGAUCUGAAACAGCGAACCCCAGACUGCCAAAGCGGAAUGUGCAAACUUAACCUUUGCGCCACCAGGCCGGCCCCUGAUGAAACUGUCUUAAAGUUGUGUCCUAAUCUCUCUUUAAAAUUUCCAAUUCCUCAUUCAAAGAGUUGAUGAGAUUCUCUCUCCUCCAUGAGGUCCUCCUUGAUUAAUUCAGACACCCACAUGAUCUGAACACCUCAGGGCCAGGGUAAACUCAGCCUGAGGAAGAAUCAUGGGACCUCAUGGAGAUCAAUCCUGAGAGUUGAAAGCACAAGGAUAGAGCCAGUCAGAGGCAAGGAAGCCAGAGGUCAGUUUUGAAAAGCAGCCCAGAGUCAGACUUGAAUGCAAUAUAAGGGCUAUAGUUAGGACACAAGGCUGUGACUAAGAACUUGGAACUACACAAUUAAAUCAGGAACCUAGGUUUAAUGCUAAGAGGGCCAGGUCAGGAUAUUGACCUUGAAAGAGAUGAACUCCGCGGGGUCCACCCUGGUUGCUGGCACAGUGUUGUGGAAUGAGAGGGUUGGAGCCCAUGAGGUUCUUGAACACCUCUUCUUGCACAGAGUACUAAUUAAUGCAUUUUUCUGCUUUCUUAUGUAACCCUAAUAAACCAGGGGUUUGUUUCCUUAAGGAGGCCAAGUUGGAGAAGCUCAAUUGCUGUCAAAAUAUAAAUAAAAAAGAAAUCCAUUUUUAACCUGC
Molecule: long non-coding RNA, 2694 nt
Filed under: Equus caballus (horse)
Lineage: Eukaryota; Metazoa; Chordata; Mammalia; Perissodactyla; Equidae
Description: lncRNA (ENSECAG00000052240.1)
Source: RNAcentral